This 76-nucleotide transfer RNA is filed under the name Slackia isoflavoniconvertens. RNAcentral describes it as "tRNA-Lys". It matches the Rfam family "tRNA". Rfam says of the family: Transfer RNA (tRNA) molecules are approximately 80 nucleotides in length. RNAcentral also lists the same sequence under 2 other names. The record is from RNAcentral. Lineage: Bacteria; Bacillati; Actinomycetota; Coriobacteriia; Eggerthellales; Eggerthellaceae.
GGGCCGUUAGCUCAGCUGGUAGAGCAGGGGACUUUUAAUCCCAAGGCCGCGGGUUCGAUUCCCUCACGGCCCACCA